UCCAUAUCUUCUCCAUGAGGUCUCAGGCUUGGUCAUCCUCUAGGUACGAUCUUAAUUAGUCCUAUGUAGUCAUAUUUGGAUGAUAGUACUUCACUUGACCACAUAUGGAAUUACUGGAUGCUAUACAACUAAUGGACUCUAGAACUUGACAAUGAAAUUAUGGAAUUACUGGAUGCUAAACGUAAUGAAUUUAUCCUGCAUAAAUCCUCGCCUUCCUCUUUUGUUUGUUAUGCAGGGAAAAAACAAGUAAAAAAAUGAUGCCUUCUCAGUUCUCAUCGAUCUGGUAGCGGCAAGUUCAAUUCUGCAGCCUCGACCAUUUCGGCUGCUCAUCGAAUUGUUUCGUGUUACACUGGUGCAAGCCGGAGAAAAGCCUACUCUGGAUCCUAUUGCAGUUGACAUCUUCUUUGCGUUGCUUUCAUCGGUGAAAAUCCAGAACAAGAAGCACAUAUAUGAUGAUGCAUCACCGGCUGCCUCCACCGCUGUUUUCUCCUUAAACCUGUUUUCUCCUUAAAUCAGUCUGCCAACUAGACUAGACACUUCAAUUGAUGUCACAUAUUGUUGUACAGAACCUACAAUUUCUGUACAUAUAGAAACAUCAGAUUAGUACUUUUUUGGACACUGAUUUCUCUUCUCUAACUGAAGCAAGUCUCUUAUAUUUACUGAAAGGUAGAACUAACCAGUGAUCCUUGACGUGAAUUUCACAUCGCUACUAAACUCUCUUUAUAUCUUUAGAAUAUGAUUAUCAGGAGAUUAUCUUCAUCACAAAUCCAAACAGCUGUUGAGAUGCUAAUAUAAUCAAGAAAUUAUCUGGGUUGACACAUAAAAAAUAUAUUAACUCCAUCUGUUAUCAUGGUUGAUGUACAUGACUAUAUGCUCUCACCUUUUAUGAAAAAACAUGGGUUCCAAUUAUAUGUCUGUCUUCCUAUAAAGAGAACUUCCAUAUAUGCAAAUAAUUAACAUGCAACCCAGUUAACGAAGUUUUUCUUUUGAAGCUAUCAGUCCAUAAACUAACAAAAUACACAUGUAGAAUUACCCCUUUUUCCUCCUCUUCGACCACACAUCUGCUUGUCUGGAUUCUCAACGGCAUCAAUCACCACAUCCCCCGACAACUACGUCCAUGGCUGCUUCUUUCCGUAUGACCUUCUCCCUGUUGUCCUCCUCCCAAGCCAGCAGUCAUGGCAUCCCCAAGCAACAUAAGCCAGCAGCAACAAGGUAAGGACCCUCACCCCGUUUCCUCUCUACAGUUUGUUUUGCUCAGAUUUUGCUUUUCGGUUCUUACUGUUGAUGGAGACAUGUGUUUAUUUAUGUUUCGAAAUGAGACUCCUAAUUACAUUUAUAUCAGAAAUUGUUUGUAACCAUUUCGCAGUUUUGAUUGGUUGCUAUGGCAAAGUUGUUAAUUAUAUGUUUUGUUUGCAGCAACCAAUCUACAAACUGAGGAUUUCAUCCCAUCGCCCUUUGCUAGGAACCAGGUUUCAUUGUAUCCACUAUAUCACCUCGCUUGUUUGUUCAUUUCAUAUUUAAAUAUGUUAUCCAAUAUGAACAAUCCAGUCAUUUUGUAUGUUGUUUUCUUGCCAUUCUAUGCUAAUAUUAUUAUUUGUUCAAAUGCUUAUUUUUUUCUCUGAAAUGGCAUGAUCCCCAUCAAAACAAACUAUGUGAAUUGUUAGGUAAUUAAGUUCAAACUGUGAGCCGGAGCGCGAGAGAUCGCCACCGUUAUUGCCUCUACUUGCGCAGCCUACUGCAUGACCGCAACCCCUGGUACAUACCUAUUACCGAAUAAUACACAUGAAUGUGAGAUUUUCCUACCUUAUUUCAAUUCAGUUUGAGGUUGCAUUUUUUGCUGGUUUGUGAGAAUAUCUCGAGUCAGAUAAGGCAUGUCAAAAUGGGUGAUUAAGGUACUUCUAUUUUCAGGAUUUUAACAAGGCUGCCUGGUUUGUCACACUUUUAAAUGAAAAUCAGAAAAUGAUAAUUACAAAUGAUGGACAAAAUCCUUAAUUUAAUAUGUAUAGCCUCUUUGUCUGAAUUAAGACCAAUGCUUACUGAUUGAAUGGUGUCAACACGUUGGUAUCUAUCAAUUGGCUGUAAUGCUGCCCCAUUAGAUAUUCUGAGCUUAUUUUUAGCUUGCACAUUUUUGUUUCUUUCUUAAUUUAAGGCGGCAUAGGUUUCCGUGAAAGAGGAUCUUACAAAUUGGAUGCCAAUAUUUUUUAUCAAAAGAUUCUUAAAUUUCACGUACCAUCAAGUGACUGGUUUGCGAUCUUCCACACAUUACUUUAGGUAUCUCUUUGCCACAAAAUUCGGUAAAUUUCUUGUGAACUUAUUUUGAUAUUUUGUUGUGUCUUAAAAGCAAUUGGCUAAUUUUACUCCAGCGUUAGCAUGUGGAAGGUAUCGUAAUUAUUACGGGCACAUCUACAUUCAUGCACAUACACUGAGCUUUAAUCACUUCAUGCAAUUCUCAUUUGAUAUAGUAAGGACAGUUUUGUAAACGACACUCAAUUAUGAUUCUGAUUCGAUAGAUGAUGUUCUCUUACGGAUAUUAGCAAAAAUGUUAUGUAGGUAAUGUUGUUAUUAUUGUUUCCUUCAUCAACAUACACCACGUUAUUUACAGAGCAAUUAUAACUGUCUUAUACUUCUCCUUGGGACACUGCUUAUGUAUUUAUUUCUUCAAUUGAUUUGCCUUACUAAUAGUAUUUUGUUUGUAUUUCGAUGUAAGCAAUUGUAAGUCGGUUAACAUGUAGCACAACUUGAGACAUUGUUUCACAACCCACUGGCAUUUGAUAUUGAGCUUACGGCUUUUAUUAUUGUAGAUCGGAUGGAAUUUUACGACCUCAAAUCUGAGCAAGUGCACAUUCACGCAUCUAUCCUGGUGCAAUGCAAGAAUACUUGACCGUUAUAAUAUGAUGAUGUAGUGUAAUUGUAUCACUGGCCAGAACGCAUUGAAAUUUUCUUGAUAAUAUAUUGGAAGUUCUGAAAUAUUUGUACUGCCUAUUUUCUUCUCUCGAGUAUUCCUAAUGUCUUUCCUCUGUCUUUCCUCAAUAUUCUAUUUUGUAGCUAUCGUGAUGUGAACCUUUGCGGGAGAUGCCACAAUCCAUAUCAAUCAUCCUAAUUCAUAUCUCUCCUAAUUCAUAUCUCAUGCGCUUAAUACUGCUU
This 3144-nucleotide long non-coding RNA is filed under the name Triticum aestivum (bread wheat). RNAcentral describes it as "long non-coding RNA (TAES_LNC010170)". The record is from RNAcentral. Lineage: Eukaryota; Viridiplantae; Streptophyta; Magnoliopsida; Poales; Poaceae.